CUCCGCUUGUCACCUGGAAUUCUGGCAUGGGAGCACCACACAUUUACUGGGCCUGCUGUGCCCUGCCAGUAUCCCACCCCAUCAUGGGGAGCCUUCUGCAGGGGUGUAAACAGAGUGUGGACCGGCGGGCACAGUUUGCUGCUCUCCAGCUAAAUACUGCCUGAGCUCUGGCCAUGGAGACCUGUAGCCCUUGCUUGUGGUCAUGCAACAGGGCAUUAAAAAUAAAGGUAAAUCCCUUACCAGCAUCUCCCGAUUGGAAAAUGGCAUUCGGCUACAUGAAAAUGUCAUUAAUAUGAUUCCAUUGGCAGAGCAGGAGAUGCCAGGCUCAGGACCCUGUGCCCAUCGCCACCCCCUCCCCCAGCCCAAAGCGUCUCCCUCUCUCCAGACAAAGGAGGGAUGCUCCCUCUGUCUCUCUCAGGCACACAGUGUAGCAGAAUUCUGGCGUUUGUGUAUCGUUUUUUCCCUGCUGGCAUUUAAUGGGCGUUUUAGUAGCACAAAUAGAAAAUGCUGCAUAUUCAUCUUCCGUGUCACAGGCAUUGAGAUGGAGAGGAGUGAAAGGAGAAGCGCCUCGGGCUCAUUGUACCAAUCUUGUCCUCCACAGCAAUCUCCAAGAUGAAGAAUAACUUAAUUACCGCAUCUCAUUUCGUCUGCUUUAUUUGCUUCCCUCCUAUGCCUGUGCCCACUCUUGACACACGAUUAAAACACCAGUGGGCAGCCAGCACCCACCCCACGUUGUGCUCCCAUGGCCGGAUGGCAGGAGAGGGCUGAUGAAAUAUGGGCUGUGCCUCGAAAGAUGAAGGGCUGCAAUCCAUCCCAGUGGCUGUGGGCUUUGCAGAGCAGCAGUCUGGCCACAAAGCAAUCGGCCAGCAGUGGGCUGGCUGCUGCUGGAGGUAAAGGUUUUGUGUGCCCAUCCAUCUUGGUCAGCUUGCUUUGGGAAGGGCGUGGGCGUCGAGUUCAAUUUGGAUGGAAAAAAGCAGCUUGAAGUCAGGAAAUGCAGUUUUUCUCCCCGACUCCGCCACAAAUAGGGGAAUUGGGAUUGCUCAGUGUGGGCUUUCCUCUCUUGGCUGUCCCAUCAGAGCCCCUUCAUGAUGCACAAGGUACAAAAUCUGCCAAAAUGACGUCCCCAGAACAAGGUUGGCUCUGGAUAAAGCAUCACUUGGGGUCCUGCAAACUGAGGAAUGCCUACAAAGCUCAGCCCUGCUAUUCCCAUCACACACAGGGCAGCUGGGGACACAAAUCCGAUGUCCCCUGAACAAGGGCGUGGAGUCCUUCAGCUAAGUCACCCCAAUACUGAGCAGAGGUGCUGAACUCUGUGUCCCCAAAUCGCCCCUCCGUGGCCCCACAGGGCCCCUACUGGGCAGGGGACAAGGGCAGCCAGCAGCUGGGGUGAUGCCUGGGGCACCACGGGUGAAAAGCUGUGUUUCCUGUUGGUCUCCAGACAGGGACGUGACCCAGGAGGUUUGGCAGCUGAAGCACAUUUGUUUUCACAGAGCGGAGAGCACCAGAAGCAAUUAGUGCAUUUAAAAUAGCUCUGCAAAGCCCCGCUGCAACUUUGCAAGGCAGGGGAAGAGCCAAAACCCAUGGCACACUGCAGUCCAUCAGUGUGUCCACAGAGGGACACGUGGAGAUGCCUCCAUCAGCCCCAAGCACAAAGCCAGGUAUCAAAUCCAAACUCGCCUCUUCUCUUCCAUGACAUGUCAUUUCCUUUCUGUCCUUAAGAAUGGUCUAAUUGCUGGAUUAGUUCUCCUAGGAAAGUGCAGGGGAGCCAGCUCUGCUGCCAGGUAUUGGUGAGUUAAAGGAGGCAGCAAACCGAGCAGAGCUCAUUUGUGCUCUGUGUCAGCACCAUUCCCUCAUUCCCUCUGAGCACCCUGCUCCUUUUAGGUAAAUGCUUCACUGUGCUGUGAACACGCAGGUAAUGAAACCUUGUCUUUGUAGUUUGGUGAUAUAAAAAAAGAAACAGAGCUGUGCUAAAUGUGCCCACAUUGAAGAGUCACCAUCCCGAGCAAUGAGCGCUCAACAGGACCAGGAGGGGAGGUCUGGGUCUGCAGUAGUUUGAUUGGGAGUGUGAGGGCUUGGGAAGUAGUGGGCUCACGUGGUAGGGUGAUGCAGAGCUACACAAAGCAAACAGGGAGAGAGAUGUGAAUUGAGAGAUGGAAAAUGGAAGGAAGAGAAAGGCGGUGGGGAAGGGAAAGGAAAGGAGAAGAGAAAGGAGAAGGGGAAGGAAGCAUUGUUAUUGUCUCUGACAAGUGUGCGUUUGUGGGAUGGGGAGGAGGAGCAGCCCACAGCAUCCUGCAGGAAAACAUAUCGAGGUUUAAUUCUGUUGAGAGCUCAUUGGAUGGGACUGGAGAAUUACUUAUCUCAUUCUGGGUUGCAGUUUGUGUUCCAGUUUUACAUGCAUGCUUACACAGCAGGAAGGCUGGAACAGGUUGCCCAAGGAGGCUGUGGAUGCCCCAUCCCUGCAGGCAUUCAAGGCCAGGCUGGAUGUGGCUCUGGACAGCCUGGGCUGCUGGUUGGCGACCCUGCACAUAGCAGGGGGUUGGAACUCAAUGAGCAUUUUGGUCCUUUUCAACCCAGGCCAUUCUGUGAUUCUGUGAUUCUAUGAUGCCCCGACCCCUCUGCUCUGCUCUCACCCCAGCAUGUAAAGGGUCUCCAUCUCCAUGAGGACAGGUUUCACCAAAGCACUGCUGAAUUGAACCUGGGUUUCUUUUCAGGGAGGAAGAGUCACACAGGCACACAGAGCUACUGAAAAAGUGUGUGGGAUGACUAUGGAGGAACACCCAAGAGCAUGGCCUAAAAAGUCUUCCCAGAGCAUGGUCACCACCAAAAAGUGGUAUGGAGGAGAGAAAGCAGUUCUAAUUAGUCCUAAAAUUUCUUCUAACCAAGAUGCCCCACUGAGAGAUUUGGGGUGCUCAAGGUUUCCUCUCCCUUUUGCCAUGCAAUUAGGGGCAAGGAGUUGCUGCCAAGCCAGGUGACACCCACAGUUCACACGGCUCAGGAAGCAGUCUGUCCUCUGCCUGCACCUCCUGGGGUUACCGAUGAACCACUUUAACAUCCUCCCUUCUACACCAGCAUUCCCACCCAUCACUCACGGGCCGACUGCAUGAGGAACUUCCCUGCUUGCCUGGAGGCUGUUUUUAGCAGGGCACAUUUGCUACUCAAAUAAAGUAAAUGAUUAAAAAAAAGUAAUAAUAAAUUAAAAACCUGUAGCUUAACUCCCAACGAGUUUAAAAUCGGGCAGGUUGAUUAUAAGCUGUCACAGUACACGCUCAUGAAAUUCUGACAGCAGGGCACCAAGGGUUCUGCACCAAGCUGUCAGACCUUCCACUCCACCUGAACUCUAAACCUUGAUCAGCUGCUGCUGCUGAGGUUGUGGUGAGCUCCCCAGCUGAAGGCAGGCUCACUGCCAGCAGAACGUGUCGGGACUGGGGAUGCCAUUCGGAGUUUGGCUGUGGCUGCACUCUGUGUUUUACUGAGCUCUGCAAGUUCUGUGCUUUGGGAGGCCAUCCCGUGGCUCUUUGGAGGUCUGAAAAUCCCCCGUGCAGGAAAAGCUUUCUGCAGCAUCACUGGGAAGUAGUUCAGGAAGAUAAAGCUCAAACUCCAGUCUUCGUUGGGGAACUUACUAAUCCAUGUGUUGGGAAAUGCUGAGUCACAGCUUGAAGUGAUGGGGCACCUGGUGGGAAGGCAGGGCCAGCCCAGCGAAGCUCAGGUGCGAGCAAUGCAGCUGAGUGACCAGAAGGGGUGGAGCCAGGAUGCACCCCUUACAGACCUCAUUUAAGGGCUGGCAGUGGAAGUAGGUGUAUCUUGCUGGAGAUGCCUGCAUGCUUAAGGCCUUCUGAAGUGGGAUGAGAGCGCACAGGGUUGGUGCCCGUGGCACUGCUGGACUCGGAGCUGCAGAACCACCAUGUCCUCUCUCCUUAUCAUCCUCCACAUGCUCCUUUUUGGGUAUUUUGCAGCACUUUGAGGCUGGGAGAAGUGGUGCAGCAGCAAUGACAACCAGGACAUUGUCCCCUUGGGACAUGCAUUGAGCGAGACCCGGCUGCCUGCCUUAGCCCUUGAAAGGAAGGGGUGAAGGAAAAUGGGAAAAGGAGAAGGUGGGAAGGAGAACGAGAGAGAAAAAUGAAUUGCUUAAAACUUCUAUUACUCUUCAUUACCUUCUGCUUUAUAAAUUCGAAGUCAAACCUGGGGGCUCCAGACCCCGAAAGAAUGGAAGGGAAACGUUCCCUGCCUGCCCCGCCAACCAGCUCGUUAAACUCCAGCCCUCCUGCUGCUCUCCAGUGAUUUAUGGAGAAUCAAAGCCAAAGCCCCACUUGUCUGUAGAUGGGAUGCUUGGAUUCGAGGUGUUGUUUCAAAGAAAAGUGAUGGAUCAGAACCUGGAGACCAGGUCCAGCCCAGUCCCCAGCAGCAGCCCUGACCUCUUCUCCACCACCUCCAUCCUCUGCAGGUCCCUCAACCUACUCAGCACCUUAUUUUGAAGGGAAGGAGGCUCUUAUCUGACCCGCGCUUCACAUUUCAAGGCCGCCACGAGCCUUGGGCUCAUAUUUUUCACACGUCCUAAAACAUCAUCCCUCCCCCGGCACAAACGUGCAUACAUUCCUUAUGGUCUGCUUCCCCUCAGGGCCCCACAGGCCUGAAGAGAUGAUAAAAUUUCUGUAAAGUAGGUGUUUGAGGCAUUUCCUAGCAGUUCGUGACCCCGCUGAAACCCCUGCGAGGAACGCAGUAGGAUGCUUCACAUAACUCUGAAAAAGGAUGUUUUGGAGCUAAUUGCUUCCAAACCAUCCAAGUGAUGAGAAAUCCAGUGCUACCAGCAGCUCAU
Gallus gallus (chicken) is the source of this 4813-nucleotide long non-coding RNA. The record is from Ensembl. NCBI's taxonomy places the organism in Eukaryota, Metazoa, Chordata, Aves, Galliformes, Phasianidae.